GACGAAGGAUGCAAGCGUUAUCCGGGUUCAUUGGGUUUAAAGGGAGCGUAGGUGGUCUUAUAAGUCAGUGGUGAAAUCUCGCAGCUUAACUGCGAAACUGCCAUUGAUACUGUAGGACUUGAGUGUAGUUGCUGUGGGCGGAAUAUGACAUGUAGUGGUGAAAUACUUAGAGAUGUCAUAGAACACCGAUUGCGAAGGCAGCUCACAAAACUAUAACUGACACUGAGGCUCGAAAGUGCGGGGAUCAAACAGG
This 253-nucleotide ribosomal RNA is filed under the name uncultured bacterium. Its description in RNAcentral is "partial 16S ribosomal RNA". It matches the Rfam family "Bacterial small subunit ribosomal RNA", at positions 524 to 776 of the family's 1533-position model. The record is from RNAcentral.